AGUGAACGCUGGCGGCGUGCUUAACACAUGCAAGUCGAACGCGAAAGGGGGAGCAAUCCUCCGAGUAGAGUGGCGAACGGGUGAGUAAUGUGUGAGCAACCUGCCUUUCGGAGUGGGACAACCCGGGGAAACCUGGGCUAAUACCGCAUAAAGUCCGGGGGCUUCGGCCCUCCGGCCCAAAAGAUGGCCUCUGCUUGCAAGCUAUCGCCGGGAGAUGGGCUCACAUCCUAUCAUGCUUGUUGGUGAGGUAACGGCUCACCAAGGCGGUGACGGGUAGCCGGCCUGAGAGGGUGUCCGGCCACACUGGAACUGAGACACGGUCCAGACUCCUACGGGAGGCAGCAGUGGGGAAUAUUUCGCAAUGGGCGCAAGCCUGACGAAGCAACGCCGCGUGGAGGAUGACGGCCCUAGCAGUCUUAAACUCCUGUCUAGUGGGACGAAAGGUUUGCGGGGAAAUACUCCGCAGAUUUGACGGUACCGCUGGAGGAAGCUCCGGCCAACUCCGUGCCAGCAGCCGCGGUAAUACGGAGGGAGCAAGCGUUACUCGGAAUUACUGGGCGUAAAGGGCGCGUAGGCGGUCCUGUAAGUCCCGUGUGAAAGCCCCAGGCCUAACCUGGGAAGUGCACGGGAUACUGUGGGACUUGAGUGCUGGAGAGGAAGGCGGAAUUCCCGGUGUAGCGGUGAAAUGCGCAGAUAUCGGGAGGAACACCAGCGGCGAAGGCGGCCUUCUGGACAGCUACUGACGCUGAGGCGCGAAAGCCAGGGGAGCAAACGGGAUUAGAUACCCCGGUAGUCCUGGCCCUAAACGAUGUGCACUUGGUGCGGGUGCGUGUUGCAUCUGCGCCGUAGCUAACGUGUUAAGUGCACCGCCUGGGGAGUACGGUCGCAAGGCUGAAACUCAAAGGAAUUGACGGGGGCCCGCACAAGCGGUGGAGCAUGUGGUUUAAUUCGAUGCAACGCGAAGAACCUUACCGGGGUUCGAACUGCAGAAGUAACAGCCAGAAAUGGUUGCCCCCAGCAAUGGGCCUCUGUAGAGGUGCUGCAUGGCUGUCGUCAGCUCGUGUCGUGAGAUGUUGGGUUAAGUCCCGCAACGAGCGCAACCCUUGCCCUUAGUUGCCUUUUGGCUCUCUAAGGGGACUGCCGGUGAAAAAUCGGAGGAAGGCGGGGAUGACGUCAAGUCAUCAUGGCCUUUAUGCCCCGGGCCACACACGUGCUACAAUGGCUGGUACAAAGGGUCGCAAGACCGUAAGGUGGAGCCAAUCCCACAAAGCCGGCCUCAGUUCGGAUUGGAGUCUGCAACCCGACUCCAUGAAGUUGGAAUCGCUAGUAAUCGCGGAUCAGCACGCCGCGGUGAAUACGUUUCCGGGCCUUGUACACACCGCCCGUCACACCACGAAAGUGGGUUGUACCUGAAGUCGCCGAGCUAACCCUCUGGGAGGCAGGUGCCCAAGGUAUGGCUCAUGAUUGGGGUG
This 1472-nucleotide ribosomal RNA is filed under the name uncultured Acidobacteriota bacterium. RNAcentral's name for it is "bacterial SSU rRNA". It matches the Rfam family "Bacterial small subunit ribosomal RNA". Lineage: Bacteria; Pseudomonadati; Acidobacteriota. The record is from RNAcentral.